AUUGAACGCUGGCGGCAUGCUUUACACAUGCAAGUCGAACGGUAACAGGGUGCUUGCACCGCUGACGAGUGGCGAACGGGUGAGUAAUGCGUCGGAACGUGCCGAGUAGUGGGGGAUAACGCAGCGAAAGUUGUGCUAAUACCGCAUACGUACUGAGGUAGAAAGUGGGGGACCUUCGGGCCUCACGCUAUUCGAGCGGCCGACGUCUGAUUAGCUAGUAGGUGAGGUAAAGGCUCACCUAGGCGACGAUCAGUAGCGGGUCUGAGAGGAUGGCCCGCCACACUGGGACUGAGACACGGCCCAGACUCCUACGGGAGGCAGCAGUGGGGAAUUUUGGACAAUGGGCGAAAGCCUGAUCCAGCCAUGCCGCGUGUCUGAAGAAGGCCUUCGGGUUGUAAAGGACUUUUGUCAGGGAGGAAAUCCCUAGUGCUAAUAACACUGGGGGAUGACAGUACCUGAAGAAUAAGCACCGGCUAACUACGUGCCAGCCGCCGCGGUAA
Molecule: ribosomal RNA, 500 nt
Filed under: uncultured bacterium
Lineage: Bacteria
Description: partial 16S ribosomal RNA
Rfam family: Bacterial small subunit ribosomal RNA
Source: RNAcentral